This 253-nucleotide ribosomal RNA is filed under the name uncultured bacterium. RNAcentral's name for it is "partial 16S ribosomal RNA". It matches the Rfam family "Bacterial small subunit ribosomal RNA", at positions 524 to 776 of the family's 1533-position model. The record is from RNAcentral.
UACGUAGGGGGCAAGCGUUAUCCGGAAUUACUGGGUGUAAAGGGUGCGUAGGCGGCAUGGUAAGCCAGAUGUGAAAGCCUUGGGCUUAACCCGAGGAUUGCAUUUGGAACUAUCAAGCUAGAGUACAGGAGAGGAAAGCGGAAUUCCUAGUGUAGCGGUGAAAUGCGUAGAUAUUAGGAAGAACACCAGUGGCGAAGGCGGCUUUCUGGACUGAAACUGACGCUGAGGCACGAAAGCGUGGGGAGCGAACAGG